GAUGAACGCUGGCGGCGUGCUUAACACAUGCAAGUCGAACGAGAAGUGAAGACGGAAACCUUAGGGCGGAAGGCUUUAUUUCGAGUGGCGGACGGGUGAGUAACGCGUGGGUAACCUGCCUCAUACAGGGGGAUAACAGUUGGAAACGACUGUUAAUACCGCAUAAGACCACAGCACCGCAUGGUGCGGGGGUAAAAACUCCGUGGGUAUGAGAUGGACCCGCGUUCGAUUAGCCAGUUGGCGGGGUAACGGCCCACCAAGGCGACGAUCGAUAGCCGAUCUGAGAGGAUGACCGGCCACAUUGGGACUGAGACACGGCCCAAACUCCUACGGGAGGCAGCAGUGGGGAAUAUUGCACAAUGGGGGAAACCCUGAUGCAGCGACGCCGCGUGAGUGAAGAAGUAUUUCGGUAUGUAAAGCUCUAUCAGCAGGGAAGAAAAUGACGGUACCUGAGUAAGAAGCCCCGGCUAACUACGUG
Molecule: ribosomal RNA, 478 nt
Filed under: uncultured bacterium
Lineage: Bacteria
Description: partial 16S ribosomal RNA
Rfam family: Bacterial small subunit ribosomal RNA
Source: RNAcentral